GUGCCAGCCGCCGCGGUAAUACGUAGGGGGCAAGCGUUGUCCGGAAUUAUUGGGCGUAAAGCGCGCGCAGGCGGUUUUUUAAGUCCGGUGUUUAAGGCCUUGGCUCAACCAGGGUUCGCACGGGAAACUGGGUAACUGGAGUGCAGGAGGGGAAAGUGGAAUCCCACGUGUAGCGGUGAAAUGCGUAGAGAUGUGGAGGAACACCAGUGGCGAAGGCGACUUUCUGGCCUGUAACUGACGCUGAGGCGCGAAAGCGUGGGGAGCAAACAGGAUUAGAUACCCUAGUAGUCC
RNAcentral lists this ribosomal RNA (291 nucleotides) under uncultured bacterium. RNAcentral describes it as "partial 16S ribosomal RNA". It matches the Rfam family "Bacterial small subunit ribosomal RNA", at positions 505 to 796 of the family's 1533-position model. The record is from RNAcentral.